RNAcentral lists this long non-coding RNA (232 nucleotides) under Phoenix dactylifera (date palm). RNAcentral describes it as "long non-coding RNA (PDAC_LNC008191)". Lineage: Eukaryota; Viridiplantae; Streptophyta; Magnoliopsida; Arecales; Arecaceae. The record is from RNAcentral.
UAGAAAUGCAAUUGAAGGAACAGGACUUGGCUAAUGAUGGAGAAACCAUGAUGAGUUUGGAGACACAAGUCGAAGGAAUGUUAACUUUAUUUUGGAAUGGGAUAUGGCUAGAGAAUAUGUUGUACAUGAGUUCAUGGAAUCAUGGAGGAAACUUUCAGAAUCACUAUGAACUGUGAUAAGCCAACAUGGACAGUUACAGGAACUCAAUGGUUAUUCAACGGUUUUAGUUAUG